This 253-nucleotide ribosomal RNA is filed under the name uncultured bacterium. RNAcentral describes it as "partial 16S ribosomal RNA". It matches the Rfam family "Bacterial small subunit ribosomal RNA", at positions 524 to 776 of the family's 1533-position model. The record is from RNAcentral.
UACGUAGGGAGCAAGCGUUGUCCGGAAUCAUUGGGCGUAAAGCGCGCGUAGGUGGCUUCGUAAGUCCGUUGUGAAAGUCAAAGGCUCAACCUUUGAAAGCCGAUGGAUACUGCGGAGCUAGAGUACGGAAGAGGCGAGUGGAAUUCCUGGUGUAGCGGUGGAAUGCGCAGAUAUCAGGAGGAACACCAAUAGCGAAGGCAGCUCACUGGCCCGAUACUGACGCUGAGGCACGAAAGCGUGGGGAGCAAACAGG